AUCAGUUUAGUUUAAUAAAAAAUUUUACUUUGUGAUAGUGAAGAUUCAUGAGAAGUUGAUA
Molecule: transfer RNA, 61 nt
Filed under: Sogatella kolophon
Lineage: Eukaryota; Metazoa; Arthropoda; Insecta; Hemiptera; Delphacidae
Description: tRNA-His
Source: RNAcentral